UCCCUUCAGUUGAGAUCAGGGAUAAAGUUGGGAAUUUAAGAGGGUCCAGUGUCUCAUUGUUUUCAUGAUUCAUCUACCACCACAAUACUAAUUUGAUGUGAUCUUUAGUCUUUCUUCAUGAACUGGAAGUGGGUAUUUGGAAUUAUAGUUUUCUUUUUUUCCGACAGAGAUUUGAAUUUUAGAUGUGUUGCUCUUUCCAUGUGAAUCUGAUUUUCUUCUAAGAUCUUUCUUACUGUAGAUGGGGUGUUAAGAAGCCUCAAAUCAUGGAAAAUUCUGUCACGAUCUUGUCGAGUGUAGGUCUUGGGGUGGCCAUGUUCAGUCUCGGUAAGAUUAUUGAUAUGCUCAUUCGACUCGAGGGGUGUCAUCAAGAAAUAUGACAGUCCUGAACAAAUUCUUGAAGAAUUCUUUCAUUUAAGACUUGAGUUUUAUGUAAAGAGAAAGAAAGUAAUGUUGGAUAAUCUUGAGAAGGAAGAAGCCCAGGUGGAGGAGGUGAUAGGACAGAUGGAGGGCAGGGUAGGCAAGCCUCUUGCUAAGGCUUCUAGACAAGUUGGAAAGAACCAAAGAAAGAACAACACUAAGAAA
Molecule: long non-coding RNA, 582 nt
Organism: Magnolia sinica
Lineage: Eukaryota; Viridiplantae; Streptophyta; Magnoliopsida; Magnoliales; Magnoliaceae
Exons: 3
Source: RefSeq, a predicted model, not a curated record